GACCUGCCUUCGAGCGGGGGAUAACGCUCCGAAAGGGACGCUAAUACCGCAUAACAUCCUGCCUUUUAAGAGGGGGAGAUCAAAGCCGGGGAUUCGCAAGAACCUGGCACUUGAAGAGGGGCCCGCGCCUGAUUAGCUAGUUGGUGGGGUAAUGGCCUACCAAGGCAACGAUCAGUAUCCGGCCUGAGAGGGCGGACGGACACACUGGGACUGAGACACGGCCCAGACUCCUACGGGAGGCAGCAGUGGGGAAUUGUUCGCAAUGGGCGCAAGCCUGACGACGCAACGCCGCGUGGAGGAUGAAGACCUUCGGGUCGUAAACUCCUUUCGAUCGAGACGAAUGUUUUUCGGGUGAAUACUCCGGAAAAGUGACGGUACCGAGAGAAGAAGCCCCGGCUAACUCUGUGCCAGCAGCCGCGGUAAUACAGGGGGGGCAAGCGUUGUUCGGAAUUACUGGGCGUAAAGGGCUCGUAGGUGGCCAACUAAGUCAGACGUGAAAUCCCUCAGCUUAACUGGGGAACUGCGUCUGAUACUGGAUGGCUUGAGUUUGGGAGAGGGAUGCGGAAUUCCAGGUGUAGCGGUGAAAUGCGUAGAUAUCUGGAGGAACACCGGUGGCGAAGGCGGCAUCCUGGACCAACACUGACACUGAGGAGCGAAAGCCAGGGGAGCAAACGGGAUUAGAUACCCCGGUAGUCCUGGCCCUAAACGAUGAA
Molecule: ribosomal RNA, 713 nt
Filed under: uncultured bacterium
Lineage: Bacteria
Description: bacterial SSU rRNA
Rfam family: Bacterial small subunit ribosomal RNA
Source: RNAcentral